Molecule: ribosomal RNA, 507 nt
Filed under: Galaxias divergens (dwarf galaxias)
Lineage: Eukaryota; Metazoa; Chordata; Actinopteri; Galaxiiformes; Galaxiidae
Description: partial 16S ribosomal RNA
Rfam family: Bacterial large subunit ribosomal RNA
Source: RNAcentral
UGACUAUAAGUUUAACGGCCGCGGUAUUUUGACCGUGCAAAGGUAGCGCAAUCACUUGUCUUUUAAAUGAAGACCUGUAUGAAUGGCAAGACGAGGGCUAAGCUGUCUCCUUUUCCAAGUCAGUGAAGUUGAUCUCCCCGUGCAGAAGCGGGGAUAUUUUCAUAAGACGAGAAGACCCUAUGGAGCUUUAGACACUAGAAAGCCCAUGUUAAACAGCCUCUUUGAAGGGUAAGAACUUAAUGGCACCUCAUCUAUUUGUCUUCGGUUGGGGCGACCGCGGGGGAAAAAAUAGCCCCCACGUGGAAUGGAAAUAUGCUUUUCCAGAGCCAAGAAAAACCUUUCUAAGCAACAGAAAUUUUGACCAAAAAUGAUCCGGCAAAGCCGAUCAACGGACCCAGUUACCCUAGGGAUAACAGCGCAAUCCUCUCCCAGAGUCCCUAUCGACGAGGGGGUUUACGACCUCGAUGUUGGAUCAGGACAUCCUAAUGGUGCAGCCGCUAUUAAGGG